RNAcentral lists this ribosomal RNA (446 nucleotides) under uncultured bacterium. RNAcentral describes it as "bacterial SSU rRNA". It matches the Rfam family "Bacterial small subunit ribosomal RNA", at positions 329 to 793 of the family's 1533-position model. The record is from RNAcentral.
GCCCAGACUCCUACGGGAGGCAGCAGUGGGGAAUAUUGCACAAUGGGGGAACCCUGAUGCAGCGACGCCGCGUGAAGGAUGAAGUAUUUCGGUACGUAAACUUCUAUCAGCAGGGAAGAAAAUGACGGUACCUGACUAAGAAGCCCCGGCUAACUACGUGCCAGCAGCCGCGGUAAUACGUAGGGGGCAAGCGUUAUCCGGAUUUACUGGGUGUAAAGGGAGCGUAGACGGGCCAGCAAGUCUGAUGUGAAAACCCGGGGCCCAACCCCGGGAGUGCAUUGGAAACUGCGGGCCUGGAGUGCCGGAGAGGUAAGCGGAAUUCCUAGUGUAGCGGUGAAAUGCGUAGAUAUUAGGAGGAACACCAGUGGCGAAGGCGGCUUACUGGACGGUAACUGACGUUGAGGCUCGAAAGCGUGGGGAGCAAACAGGAUUAGAUACCCUUGUAA